ACGGAAAGAUUAACUGUAUUUAGAAAGUAAUAGUGUAAUAUGUUGGGUUAAUAGAAAUAACUUUAUUUAUAAUAGUGUUAUGAGUACCGGGAGGGAAAUAAUUAUGUGAGUGUUAUUGAGUUUGUACCGUGAGGGGUCAUUUGAAAUAUUAGAAAAUUUAUGUGUAGUAAAGUAGAUUUUUUUGAUUGUACCUUGUGUAUCAGGGUUAACUAAAAUUUAUUUAAUUAGUUAAAUAUCCCGAUUUAAAGAGAGUUAAGCAAUUUUGUUGGUUACUGUGGCAUUAUUAUCAAGAAGAGUUGUUUAGGAAUGAAACGUUAUUCGUUCUUUAAGAUAUCUGGUUUUUUAAGAAAUGAAUUUAAUUCAGCUGUUUGAUAGUUUUUAUUUAAUUUUAUUAAAGUAGAAGUGUUAUUAAAGAGUAAUUACUUGGGGGAUAAGCUCUGAGUAAUUUAUUAUAAUUUAAGAUAUUAAUAAUUGAGCUAGGCUUGAAAGUAGCUAUGCAUAGGAAAAGUGUUAUAACUUAUUUUAUUAGGUAUAUUAUUUUGGUUAAAUUUAAUUUUUAUAUUAAAAUAUGAUUAUGAAUAUAGAAUAGUCAGUGAUAAUGGUUAAAUUAGUAUAAGUAUGUGGAGGUUUGAUAUAAAAUAGAUAAGUAAAGGCUAUUUUAAGGAACUCGGCAAAUAGAUGCUCGCCUGUUUAUCAAAAACAUGUCCUCUUGGUUAAGAAAUAAUUUGAGGUCUAACCUGCCCACUGAAAUAAUUUGAAGGGCCGCGGUAUUUUGACCGUGCUAAGGUAGCAUAAUCAUUAGUCUUUUAAUUGAAGGCUGGAAUGAAUGGUUGGACGAGGCAUUGACUGUCUCAAUGUAGAUGAUUUUAGAAUUUAACGUUUGAGUCAAAAGGCUUAAAUAAUUUUAGAGGACGAGAAGACCCUAUAGAUCUUUAUAUUAAUAUCUUAUGAAUUAUUAGGUUGUACUUAAUUAUUAGGGUGAUUAAUAUUUUAUUGGGGUGAUAGGAAGAUACAAGAAACUCUUUUUAAUUAUUAAACAUUGAUUUUUGGAUAAUUUGAUCCGUUUAUAGCGAUUAUAAGACUAAGUUACCUUAGGGAUAACAGCGUAAUCUUUUUUGAGAGUUCUUAUCGACAAGAAGGGUUGCGACCUCGAUGUUGGAUUAAGGUUAAAUUUGGGUGUAGAUGUUCAAAUUAUUGGGUCUGUUCGACCCUUAAAUCCUUACAUGAUCUGAGUUCAGACCGGCGUAAGCCAGGUCGGCUUCUAUCCUUAAAUAAGAGAAAAAUGUUUUAGUACGAAAGGACCGGGCAUUUGAAUUAAAAUUUUAAAGAAAGAUUAAUUUUAAGGGAGAG
This 1350-nucleotide ribosomal RNA is filed under the name Claassenia xucheni. RNAcentral describes it as "16S ribosomal RNA". The stretch from base 591 to 1350 matches the Rfam family "Archaeal large subunit ribosomal RNA", at positions 1423 to 2834 of the family's 2987-position model. Lineage: Eukaryota; Metazoa; Arthropoda; Insecta; Plecoptera; Perlidae. The record is from RNAcentral.